RNAcentral lists this ribosomal RNA (449 nucleotides) under uncultured prokaryote. RNAcentral's name for it is "bacterial SSU rRNA". It matches the Rfam family "Bacterial small subunit ribosomal RNA", at positions 355 to 796 of the family's 1533-position model. The record is from RNAcentral.
UAGGGAAUCUUCCGCAAUGGGCGAAAGCCUGACGGAGCAACGCCGCGUGAGUGAUGAAGGUCUUCGGAUCGUAAAACUCUGUUAUUAGGGAAGAACAAACGUGUAAGUAACUGUGCACGUCUUGACGGUACCUAAUCAGAAAGCCACGGCUAACUACGUGCCAGCAGCCGCGGUAAUACGUAGGUGGCAAGCGUUAUCCGGAAUUAUUGGGCGUAAAGCGCGCGUAGGCGGUUUUUUAAGUCUGAUGUGAAAGCCCACGGCUCAACCGUGGAGGGUCAUUGGAAACUGGAAAACUUGAGUGCAGAAGAGGAAAGUGGAAUUCCAUGUGUAGCGGUGAAAUGCGCAGAGAUAUGGAGGAACACCAGUGGCGAAGGCGACUUUCUGGUCUGUAACUGACGCUGAUGUGCGAAAGCGUGGGGAUCAAACAGGAUUAGAUACCCCCGUAGUCC